GAAGAAUUCCAUGGACAGAGGAACCUAGCAGGCUACGGUCCAUGGGAUCGCAAAAGAGUCAGACACGACUCAACGACUGACACAGAUGCACCCACAGUGAGAGACACUUACAAGCUCAGGAAAAACCAGACUCCUGUUGCCCUUCCUGGUCUCACUGCAGAGCAUGGUUCUUUGAGCUGGAAGAGUGUGCAAAAUCAGCUAUACCUACUUAAGUUGUUUCUCCCUCUUUCCCUUUAUCUGUGUGGUUUCCUUUAUUGCAUGUGGUUGAACUUCAAUAAGUUAAACACGGAUAUAAGGCAAUUCCACUGUAAGCACACUGGCUUCUACAUCAGACGUUUUCUUCAUUUCAUUUCUAGUUUUAGUAUGGAUGACUUUUGUUUUUUUUGCCCUCAGUUAUUUCACCCUUGGGCACACUUGCUCCACAGAAAACUGCAUUCCACUCUUUUCUUCAGUCUCCUCAGUCCCCUUUUCAUCUUUUUUUGCUCAAUAUCUACAAUUUGAGAUUUGUGCGAUUGCUGCUUCAAAGUUGAAAACUGAGCAAAUUAUAGCUGUGGAUUUUGUUCCUGAAGUGACAUGAGCAUGUUCAGGCCAUUUGCAGACUUCAUGGGAAACACUGGCAAUCCUAAAAGUAUUAUAGAAGGAUCAUGAUUUAUCCUAUUGUUUAGUAAGUAGAGCAGAGUUUCUUGGGAAGAGGAUGUAUUUCCAUAUUGUCACUUAAGAAUUGUGUAAAUCUUAUACUGGGCUGUGAGUUUUAAUUAACAAACUGCUUCCAUUCAGGUUGGAAUUCCUGAUUUAUUGAGGUUCUGUUUCACCUGCAUUCCACUUAAUUAAACCCAGAAGCUUCAAGCUUGAUUUACUGUCUCGUUUCCACUGAAAACACACUUCUCUUACAAUAUUUAUAACUUUCUUAAUAGGAUAGUUAUUGAAAAACAAGCCUUUGUUCACUCUGAUGAUACUCAAAAAUUAUAAAAAUUCAAAAUCUUCUUUUCAUCUCCUCAUUUCUCUGCGUGAAAGCCCACAGAGGUUCCCCAUUGCCUAGAAGACAAUGUCUCAGAUGUUUUUCACCUGAUACAUGUGCCAGCAAUUUCCACUUGGCAGAAAAACUCCCACAGAGCCUCUGGUCCCGAGGAGGUGUACUCUCUGGAUUAUGUUUGUAACCCAUAUCCCUCUGGCCUCACCAGUGCAAAUGGGGUCAUGGUUUAACCUAGUGCCUCCUGAUUGACAGUCUCCACCUGCGUGAGGGCAGGUUGCCCUUCUCAGGUUCCUUCUAAUUUCUUCCAGUGGGUCUUCGGGAGUGCUUUACAUGGGCUCCCAGCCCUCUGCUUGUCCUCGGCUGUCCUUCAGUUGCAACGCGUUGAUCCCUGUCCUGGACACGGAUUGCUGCUACCCCUGCCAUGCUGACUUCAAGGAAAACUAAAGAAGUUGUGCUUGUUUACUCACACCAUCCAGAGAAAGACAAACACUCGUUCUGCUAGUGGAAAGCCCUUAUGGUUUCACAUAUGAAUCUGCAUGCGUAACCCAGAACUGGGCAGAGAGCAAUUCUGCAGAGUGGAUCUGUUUCCAUAUGUGAAGGCAAUUGAUCCAAUGAAGAGGGUACUACAUGUGUUCUUUUAGAAAUGCAAAAACCAUAGUGAGAGAGAGUGAGUAGCAUAGCAGGAGUGUGGAGGCAAGGAAGAAAACAAAGGCUGGGAUGUCACCAGCAAAAUGUCACUUCAGUUGUGUCGAACUCUGUGCGACCCCAUAGACGGCAGCCC
Long non-coding RNA from Bubalus bubalis (water buffalo), 1754 nucleotides. RefSeq lists it as uncharacterized. The transcript is spliced from 4 exons. The record is from RefSeq and is a predicted model, not a curated record. Lineage: Eukaryota; Metazoa; Chordata; Mammalia; Artiodactyla; Bovidae.